GACGAACGCUGGCGGCGCGCUUAACACAUGCAAGUCGAGCGAAGCGGCGGACGGGUGAGUAACACGUGAGUAACCUGCCUUAGACAUUGGGAUAGCCUCGGGAAACCGGGAUUAAUACCAAAUGGUCUAAGAUGGACUCGCGUCCCAUUAGCUGGUUGGUGAGGUAACGGCCCUCCAAGGCGACGAUGGGUAGCCGGCCUGAGAGGGUGAACGGCCACAGGGGAAGUGAGAAACGUUCCAAACUCUACGGGAGGCAGCAGUGGGGAAUAGUGCACAAUGGAGGGAACUCUGAUGCAGGGACGCGGCGUGAACGAAGAAGGCUUUCGAGUCGUAAAGUUCUUUUAUAGGGGAAGCGGUACCAUAAGAAAAAGCCCCGGCUAACUACGUGCCAGCAGCCGCGGUAAUAC
RNAcentral lists this ribosomal RNA (407 nucleotides) under uncultured bacterium. RNAcentral's name for it is "partial 16S ribosomal RNA". It matches the Rfam family "Bacterial small subunit ribosomal RNA", at positions 28 to 526 of the family's 1533-position model. The record is from RNAcentral.